This 393-nucleotide ribosomal RNA is filed under the name Clostridioides difficile. Its description in RNAcentral is "bacterial SSU rRNA". It matches the Rfam family "Bacterial small subunit ribosomal RNA", at positions 1016 to 1409 of the family's 1533-position model. The record is from RNAcentral. Lineage: Bacteria; Bacillati; Bacillota; Clostridia; Peptostreptococcales; Peptostreptococcaceae.
CCCUUCGGGGACAUUGGUGACAGGUGGUGCAUGGUUGUCGUCAGCUCGUGUCGUGAGAUGUUGGGUUAAGUCCCGCAACGAGCGCAACCCUUGUCUUUAGUUGCCAUCAUUAAGUUGGGCACUCUAGAGAGACUGCCAGGGAUAACCUGGAGGAAGGUGGGGAUGACGUCAAAUCAUCAUGCCCCUUAUGCUUAGGGCUACACACGUGCUACAAUGGGUAGUACAGAGGGUUGCCAAGCCGUAAGGUGGAGCUAAUCCCUUAAAGCUACUCUCAGUUCGGAUUGUAGGCUGAAACUCGCCUACAUGAAGCUGGAGUUACUAGUAAUCGCAGAUCAGAAUGCUGCGGUGAAUGCGUUCCCGGGUCUUGUACACACCGCCCGUCACACCACGGGA